CAGGCCUAACACAUGCAAGUCGAACGAAGCCUUCGGGCUUAGUGGCGGACGGGUUAGUAACGCGUGGGAAUGUACCCUUCACUACGGAAUAGUCCCGGGAAACUGGGUUUAAUACCGUAUACGCCCUUCGGGGGAAAGAAUUUCGGUGAAGGAUCAGCCCGCGUUAGAUUAGGUAGUUGGUGGGGUAAUGGCCUACCAAGCCUACGAUCUAUAGCUGGUUUGAGAGGAUGAUCAGCAACACUGGGACUGAGACACGGCCCAGACUCCUACGGGAGGCAGCAGUGGGGAAUCUUAGACAAUGGGGGAAACCCUGAUCUAGCCAUGCCGCGUGAGUGACGAAGGUCUUAGGAUCGUAAAGCUCUUUCAACUGUGAAGAUAAUGACGGUAGCAGUAGAAGAAACCCCGGCUAACUCCGUGCCAGCAGCCGCGGUAAUACGGAGGGGGUUAGCGUUGUUCGGAAUUACUGGGCGUAAAGCGUACGUAGGCGGAUUGGAAAGUUGGGGGUGAAAUCCCGGGGCUCAACCUCGGAACUGCCUCCAAAACUAUCAGUCUAGAGUUCGAGAGAGGUGAGUGGAAUUCCGAGUGUAGAGGUGAAAUUCGUAGAUAUUCGGAAGAACACCAGUGGCGAAGGCGGCUCACUGGCUCGAUACUGACGCUGAGGUGCGAAAGUGUGGGUAGCAAACAGGAUUAGAUACCCUGGUAGUCCACACCGUAAACGAUGAAUGCCAGUCGUCAGGGGGCUUGCCCCUUGGUGACACACCUAACGGAGUAAGCAUUCCGCCUGGAGGAGUCGGCCGCAAGGUUAAAAC
This 809-nucleotide ribosomal RNA is filed under the name uncultured bacterium. RNAcentral's name for it is "bacterial SSU rRNA". It matches the Rfam family "Bacterial small subunit ribosomal RNA", at positions 43 to 900 of the family's 1533-position model. The record is from RNAcentral.